Molecule: ribosomal RNA, 383 nt
Filed under: uncultured bacterium
Lineage: Bacteria
Description: bacterial SSU rRNA
Rfam family: Bacterial small subunit ribosomal RNA
Source: RNAcentral
CAAGGUGGGGGAUAACGUAGACGAAAGUUACGCUAAUACCGCAUUAUUCUGUGAGCAGGAAAGCAGGGGGAUCGCAAGACCUUGCGCUGAUUGAGCGGCCGAUAUCAGAUUAGCUAGUUGGUGAGGUAAAGGCUCACCAAGGCGACGAUCUGUAGCGGGUCUGAGAGGAUGAUCCGCCACACUGGAACUGAGACACGGUCCAGACUCCUACGGGAGGCAGCAGUGGGGAAUUUUGGACAAUGGGCGCAAGCCUGAUCCAGCCAUGCCGCGUGAGUGAAGAAGGCCUUCGGGUUGUAAAGCUCUUUCGGCCGGGAAGAAAUCGCACAGGUUAAUACCCUGUGUGGAUGACGGUACCGGAAUAAGAAGCACCGGCUAACUACGUG